GAUGAACGCUAGCGGCAGGCUUAACACAUGCAAGUCGAGGGGUAUAGUUUUUCGGAACUAGAGACCGGCGCACGGGUGCGUAACGCGUAUGCAAUCUACCUUUUGCAGAGGGAUAGCCCAGAGAAAUUUGGAUUAAUACCUCAUAGUAUAGUACCUUGGCAUCAAGGAGCUAUUAAAGUCACAACGGCAAAAGAUGAGCAUGCGUCCCAUUAGCUAGUUGGUAAGGUAACGGCUUACCAAGGCAACGAUGGGUAGGGGUCCUGAGAGGGAGAUCCCCCACACUGGUACUGAGACACGGACCAGACUCCUACGGGAGGCAGCAGUGAGGAAUAUUGGACAAUGGGCGCAAGCCUGAUCCAGCCAUGCCGCGUGCAGGAUGACGGUCCUAUGGAUUGUAAACUGCUUUUAUACGAGAAGAAACACUCCUACGUGUAGGAGCUUGACGGUAUCGUAAGAAUAAGGAUCGGCUAACUCCGUGCCAGCAGCCGACGG
RNAcentral lists this ribosomal RNA (492 nucleotides) under uncultured bacterium. RNAcentral describes it as "bacterial SSU rRNA". It matches the Rfam family "Bacterial small subunit ribosomal RNA", at positions 28 to 520 of the family's 1533-position model. The record is from RNAcentral.